This 75-nucleotide transfer RNA is filed under the name Pseudomonas gingeri. RNAcentral's name for it is "tRNA-Glu". It matches the Rfam family "tRNA". From Rfam's summary of the family: Transfer RNA (tRNA) molecules are approximately 80 nucleotides in length. The record is from RNAcentral. Lineage: Bacteria; Pseudomonadati; Pseudomonadota; Gammaproteobacteria; Pseudomonadales; Pseudomonadaceae. RNAcentral also lists the same sequence under 3 other names.
GCUCCUAUCGUCUAGUCCGGUCAAGGACACGGCCCUCUCAAGGCCGAGGCUCGGGUUCAAAUCCCGAUGGGAGCA